RNAcentral lists this ribosomal RNA (612 nucleotides) under uncultured marine archaeon. Its description in RNAcentral is "bacterial SSU rRNA". It matches the Rfam family "Archaeal small subunit ribosomal RNA", at positions 27 to 646 of the family's 1478-position model. The record is from RNAcentral.
AUGCUAUCGGAUUGAUACUAAGCCAUGCGAGUCAUUGUAGUAAUACAAGGCAGACGGCUCAGUAACGCGUAGUCAACCUAACCUAUGGACGGGAAUAACCUCGGGAAACUGAGUAUAAUGCCCGAUAGAACAUUAUGCCUGGAAUGGUUUAUGUUCCAAAUGAUUUAUCGCCGUAGGAUGGGACUGCGGCCUAUCAGUUUGUUGGUGAGGUAAUGGCCCACCAAGACUAUUACAGGUACGGGCUCUGAGAGGAGUAGCCCGGAGAUGGGUACUGAGACACGGACCCAGGCCCUAUGGGGCGCAGCAGGCGAGAAAACUUUGCAAUGUGCGAAAGCACGACAAGGUUAAUCCGAGUGGUUCCUGCUAAAGGAACCUUUUGUCGGUCCUAGAAACACCGAUGGAUAAGGGGUGGGCAAGUUCUGGUGUCAGCCGCCGCGGUAAAACCAGCACCUCAAGCGGUCAGGAUGAUUAUUGGGCCUAAAGCAUCCGUAGCCGGCUCUGUAAGUUUUCGGUUAGAUCUGUACGCUCAACGUACAGGCUGCCGGGAAUACUGCAGAGCUAGGGAGUGGGAGAGGUAGACGGUACUCGUAGGAAGGGGUAAAAUCCUUUGAC